UACGUAGGGUGCAAGCGUUGUCCGGAAUUAUUGGGCGUAAAGAGCUUGUAGGCGGUUUGUCGCGUCUGCUGUGAAAUUUCGGGGCUCAACCCCGAACUUGCAGUGGGUACGGGCAGACUAGAGUGUGGUAGGGGAGACUGGAAUUCCUGGUGUAGCGGUGAAAUGCGCAGAUAUCAGGAGGAACACCGGUGGCGAAGGCGGCGCUCUGGACCGAGACUGACGCUGAGGCGCGAAAGCGUGGGGAGCAAACAGG
RNAcentral lists this ribosomal RNA (253 nucleotides) under uncultured bacterium. Its description in RNAcentral is "partial 16S ribosomal RNA". It matches the Rfam family "Bacterial small subunit ribosomal RNA", at positions 524 to 776 of the family's 1533-position model. The record is from RNAcentral.